RNAcentral lists this long non-coding RNA (1495 nucleotides) under Bos indicus x Bos taurus (hybrid cattle). RNAcentral describes it as "lncRNA (ENSBIXG00000018721.1)". The record is from RNAcentral. Lineage: Eukaryota; Metazoa; Chordata; Mammalia; Artiodactyla; Bovidae.
AUGCCUUUCCCCAAGCCGUGGACUGAUCCAGCGCAUGUGGGCGAUUUCUUUAACUUUCUCCCCUUCGGUCUUUCAUCUUUGGGUUGCACAAUGGAAGGGAGAGAGCGGGGCGAAAUAUCUCGCACCCAGGUCGGGCGAGCAGCGGACUGUAAUUCUCUUGCAUGCAACAAGACCGAGGAAAAGAAAGAGAGGGGGGGUGGGGGGGGAAAGCUCCCAAUGCCCAAUCAAUGGCAAGACGAAGUGAUUUCCUUGCCUCUCGGAUUCCUCUCGGCAGCGUGGAAAACGAGCCCCUGGAAAGCAACUUCAACUCAUCCAGGCUCCCGUGCAGAACACUCCGGUUCCAACAAGUCAGCCGAUCCCCGGGUUCAGCCGGCUAGUGCAUCUUGCAGCUGGGGCGCCGUAACCUCACAAAUCCCUGCAUCUCUCUUUAUUCCCUUCUGCAGCAGCUCCAAGACUCCGGCGGUGUUUACUCCUGCGCUCGCGGCGCUUCCCAGGCCCCCGCGCGAUCGCUGCCGACCGCCGCGUUCGGUCGCCGAAUGUUACCCGGUUCUGAAUGUUACACUUACACAUUCCAUUCCCGACACUACAGCGCUGACCUCAUCCAUCCACGCAGCCCGCGCUGCCAUUGGCCGAGCGUCACGUCCGGGGUGGGCGGUGCUUCCGCUGCGCCCAUUCAUAACCCCCGGCCACCGGCAGAGGCGCCGGCGCGGCGCUGGGGGUGCGGGCGGCGAAGGGACCCCAGGGCGCCUCGGCCGGGCCCCAGCGGGCGGAGCGCGGGGCUGCCCCGAGAGAGUCCGCGGCCCUUCGGUGCCCCGGGAUCCAGACCCCGGCCUGGGCCGCACCACCUGCAGCCGCCGCGCCGGGAAACCAGCGCCUCCCAGAGGCGCCUGCGGGCGCGCGGAGGCUGGAGAACCGGGGACUGGCGGGCGCUUCCCCGGCCCGCUGCUCCGGCUGCCCCGGUCGUCCUCGAGAAUUCCUACUCCUCCGCUGCCUGCCGGGAGCGCCUCCCCGAGCGGGCGGCGGCGUGUGUUCGGGUUCCUGGAGAAGGAUGCUCGAAAAGUGGAGCAGUGGGGCGAGCCCUUGGGCUGCAGGAGGAAAAAAAAAAAAAAAAGGACUUCAUAGAAAGCGACCGCUGACCAGAAGGAUGUCUCUCUCUGCCCACCUUCCACCCUCUGAGGGCCCCAAAUUUUCCUUCCUACAAAGCAUUUAAACAGGUCCCUUAUCCCCUAAAUGUGUGCAGUGUCGCUUCAAUCGUGUCCGACUCUUUGCCACCCCCAUGGACUGUAACCUGCCAGGCUACUCUGUCCAUGGGAUUCUCCAGGCAAGAAUACUGGAGCAGGUUGCCAUGCCUUCCUCCAGGAGAUCUUCGCAACCCAGGAAUCGAACCCAUUAUCUCCAGCGUCUCCUGCAUUGCCCACCUCUUUUUCCUUACCCCCAAGGAACCACCCCAAUCCCCAAUAAUAAAAAGGAAAUACAACCGAAAGGAAUCGUUUUA